UUCCGGUUGAUCCUGCCGGACCUGACUGCUAUCGGAUUGAUACUAAGCCAUGCGAGUCAUUGUAGCAAUACAAGGCAUACGGCUCAGUAACGCGUAGUCAACCUACCCUAUGGACGGAAAUAACCUCGGGAAACUGAGAAUAAUAUCCGAUAGAACAUUAUGCCUGGAAUGGUUUAUGUUCCAAAUGAUUUAUCGCCGUAGGAUGGGACUGCGGCCUAUCAGUUUGUUGGUGAGGUAAUGGCCCACCAAGACUAUUACAGGUACGGGCUCUGAGAGGAGUAGCCCGGAGAUGGGUACUGAGACACGGACCCAGGCCCUAUGGGGCGCAGCAGGCGAGAAAACUUUGCAAUGUGCGAAAGCACGACAAGGUUAAUCCGAGUGAUUUCUGCUAAAGAAAUCUUUUGUUAGUCCUAGAAACACUAACGAAUAAGGGGUGGGCAAGUUCUGGUGUCAGCCGCCGCGGUAAAACCAGCACCUCAAGUGGUCAGGAUGAUUAUUGGGCCUAAAGCAUCCGUAGCCGGCUCUGUAAGUCCUCGGUUAAAUCUGUACGCUUAACGUACAGGCUGCCGGGAAUACUGCAUAGCUAGGGAGUGGGAGAGGUAGACGGUACUCGGUAGGAAGGGGUAAAAUCCUUUGAUCUAUUGAUGACCACCUGUGGCGAAGGCGGUCUACCAGAACACGUCCGACGGUGAGGGAUGAAAGCUGGGGGAGCAAACCGGAUUAGAUACCCGGGUAGUCCCAGCUGUAAACUAUGCAAACUCAGUGAUGCAUUGGCUUGUGGCCAAUGCAGUGCUGCAGGGAAGCCGUUAAGUUUGCCGCCUGGGAAGUACGUACGCAAGUAUGAAACUUAAAGGAAUUGGCGGGGGAGCACCACAA
RNAcentral lists this ribosomal RNA (876 nucleotides) under uncultured Nitrososphaerota archaeon. RNAcentral describes it as "bacterial SSU rRNA". It matches the Rfam family "Archaeal small subunit ribosomal RNA", at positions 1 to 884 of the family's 1478-position model. The record is from RNAcentral. Lineage: Archaea; Thermoproteati; Nitrososphaerota.